GAUGAGCGCUAGCUACAGGCUUAACACAUGCAAGUCGAGGGGCAGCAUGGUCUUAGCUUGCUAAGGCCGAUGGCGACCGGCGCACGGGUGAGUAACACGUAUCCAACCUGCCGUCUACUCUUGGACAGCCUUCUGAAAGGAAGAUUAAUACAAGAUGGCAUCAUGAGUUCACAUGUUCACAUGAUUAAAGGUAUUCCGGUAGACGAUGGGGAUGCGUUCCAUUAGAUAGUAGGCGGGGUAACGGCCCACCUAGUCUUCGAUGGAUAGGGGUUCUGAGAGGAAGGUCCCCCACAUUGGAACUGAGACACGGUCCAAACUCCUACGGGAGGCAGCAGUGAGGAAUAUUGGUCAAUGGGCGAGAGCCUGAACCAGCCAAGUAGCGUGAAGGAUGACUGCCCUAUGGGUUGUAAACUUCUUUUAUAAAGGAAUAAAGUCGGGUAUGUAUACCCGUUUGCAUGUACUUUAUGAAUAAGGAUCGGCUAACUCCGUG
RNAcentral lists this ribosomal RNA (490 nucleotides) under uncultured bacterium. Its description in RNAcentral is "partial 16S ribosomal RNA". It matches the Rfam family "Bacterial small subunit ribosomal RNA", at positions 28 to 507 of the family's 1533-position model. The record is from RNAcentral.